This 2007-nucleotide long non-coding RNA is filed under the name Hordeum vulgare. Its description in RNAcentral is "long non-coding RNA (HVUL_LNC017918)". Lineage: Eukaryota; Viridiplantae; Streptophyta; Magnoliopsida; Poales; Poaceae. The record is from RNAcentral.
AGUGUGUUUAGCAUCAACACUUGAUUCGUUGUCAUAGGAGCGAAAAACUUAAAAUGGUUAUCGCUGUUGUCAACGAUUAUCAACUCCGGGUACAGGUCUCCUUAACCAUUUUGCCUGUCCCUCAGCCUCAUAUCAAGCUAUAAUAUAUCUUUGCAUCACAUUGAUGAUAAUUAUUUCAUUCAUUUGGAGAUUUUACACACAAAACUCCAAGUAUGAAAGUUAGCGACAAUUGUGGAUUUCGCUAUACAUUUCACAAGUCCUGUCUUUGUACUCACAAUCUUUUGAGAGCACUUAUUUCUUUCAGUAUGAGGCCGAUAUAUUUUACUCCAUUCCAUUGAUCUAUAUGUGGACAGGACAUUUCCAAAACAACCAGGAUAUAUACGUAAGCUGUGUGAGGGUAAUAUAUUGAGCUUCGAACAGCUGAAACAUAUGGUACCAUAUCCGUUUUCAAUCGUUUCUCAUCAAGUUUUGGAACACCGUAGUUUCGAGUUCCAUUACCCUUGACUAUAAGAACAGACGUAGGUUUUCUAGCAUGCAUACUUUAGAGAUCUUUAUUAUCAUGUCCAUGUGACAUUUCUAAUACCCCCCUUUUAUUCUUUUCUUGGUGAAUCUCGAUAAUUACAACGAAAUACACUCUACCGAGAAUACUCUUUUGAAUUUUGAGGACAAGAACUUCUUUUCUCCUCCUGCAGUAGAUUGACAUCACCACUAGCAAGUAGGACGUCAUCCACAUGCACAGGAAUUAGGAAACGAGUUUCCCAUUCUAUAACUUUGCAUGAAUACAAUUGUCCUCUCAUUUUCUUUGACCGAAAAUAACAUCUGAUUCUUUUAACUUCAAAUUCCACUGUCUAGAGUCUUGCUCUAGUCCAUAAAAGACUUCUUGAAGCAACAUUCCUCGUGAUCUUUACUUUCAUUUGAUGUUACUCACAUCAUGAUGUGCCACUAACACUCAUUGUAAUCUAUUCAUUCUCUUUGCACAAAAUCUUUCGAUUUAAAUCAUGUUUUACACCUUUACAUAUUUCCUUUGGAGCCACAUUUGCCUUGUAGACCCUUUAAAGCCUACUAUUUUGGCUCCAUUAGAAAUUACUUAUGAGUCCCAAACAUCGUCGGGAUUCACCAAUUUUAUUUCAUCUCACAGUCUCUUAUCAUUUACACAAACAGACACUUCUCUAAGCUCGAUUGAGCGCUUUAAAUGAGGUGGAAUCAAUCUCCAUUUGAAUUUCACUAACAUAGACUUUAUAGUAAUCAGAAGUAUCUGAUUUUCUCAUUCUUUGAGACCAUCAGCGUCCCGGGUACUGACACUUCUUUCAUAUGGGGUUGUUGCUGCUCUGUCAUUGCCAAGAGGCAAACUAAUUCUAUAAUCACCCAUUUCCAAGAGGCAAUAGGUUUUACAGGGACGUGUAUCACAAGAUCCAUGUUUACUCAUUCAUCCUUUAUAGAGCUAACAACAGGUGUUGUAUAGGUCAUACAACAUGCUCCCCCAGAUUACUCCAUCUUCACUAAAAAUGGCGUAUCUUUAAACUUUAUCAUUUGGGUUUAUUAUGUUAAAACUUUCUUCUUUAUGGCACUUUAAGCACCAUUUUUGUAUUCCUUAGUCUGCUUUCGGAACUAUAAAAGAUCCAGAAAUACAACUAUUUCUUUUCUUUAGGGGUAUUAUAAUGGCUGUCGUACUCCCCUUGACAAUCACAUGCUUCAUUAAUGGAUCACUUUAGAUGCAUAAUGUGCUUCACAUUAUCUAAAGUACAGGGGAGUCAUGAAUACAAUGUAUUCCAUAUUUCUUUCUCCCCCUCGAAAUGUGGCAAGAACUUUUCUGCUACAAUUUCGAAAACAAUUCAUAACUCUUGUGAAUUGAGGAAACUUCGAUUCUCUAGUUCAUUCAUCUUAUUACUUCAUGCAAAAUGAAGUUAUAUGUUAACUAGUAUGGGAGUACUUUUUCCUCAUUUCAUUUUAGAAACUCAACAUAGUUCUUUAUAAUUGGUACUUUUGCAAGUCACACUUGCAUAUCAU